GGAAUCUUGCGCAAUGCGCGAAAGCGUGACGCAGCAACGCCGCGUGGGGGAAGAAGGCCUUCGGGUUGUAAACCCCUUUCAGUUGGGACGAAGCUUCAGCGGUGAAUAGCCGUCUGGAGUGACGGUACCUUCACAAGAAGCCCCGGCUAACUACGUGCCAGCAGCCGCGGUAAUACGUAGGGGGCUAGCGUUGUCCGGAAUCAUUGGGCGUAAAGAGCGUGUAGGCGGCCCGGUAAGUCCGCUGUGAAAGUCGGGGGCUCAACCCUCGAAAGCCGGUGGAUACUGUCGGGCUAGAGUGCGGAAGAGGCGAGUGGAAUUCCUGGUGUAGCGGUGAAAUGCGCAGAUAUCAGGAGGAACACCGAUUGCGAAGGCAGCUCGCUGGGACGUAACUGACGCUGAGACGCGAAAGCGUGGGGAGCAAACAGGA
Molecule: unclassified non-coding RNA, 427 nt
Filed under: plant metagenome
Description: partial contains 5.8S ribosomal RNA, internal transcribed spacer 2, and large subunit ribosomal RNA
Rfam family: Bacterial small subunit ribosomal RNA
Source: RNAcentral